This 465-nucleotide ribosomal RNA is filed under the name Vreelandella stevensii. RNAcentral describes it as "partial 16S ribosomal RNA". It matches the Rfam family "Bacterial small subunit ribosomal RNA", at positions 338 to 795 of the family's 1533-position model. The record is from RNAcentral. Lineage: Bacteria; Pseudomonadati; Pseudomonadota; Gammaproteobacteria; Oceanospirillales; Halomonadaceae.
CCUACGGGCGGCUGCAGUGGGGAAUAUUGGACAAUGGGGGCAACCCUGAUCCAGCCAUGCCGCGUGUGUGAAGAAGGCCCUCGGGUUGUAAAGCACUUUCAGUGAGGAAGAACGCCUGGUGGUUAAUACCCAUCAGGAAAGACAUCACUCACAGAAGAAGCACCGGCUAACUCCGUGCCAGCAGCCGCGGUAAUACGGAGGGUGCGAGCGUUAAUCGGAAUUACUGGGCGUAAAGCGCGCGUAGGUGGCUUGAUAAGCCGGUUGUGAAAGCCCCGGGCUCAACCUGGGAACGGCAUCCGGAACUGUCAAGCUAGAGUGCAGGAGAGGAAGGUGGAAUUCCCGGUGUAGCGGUGAAAUGCGUAGAGAUCGGGAGGAAUACCAGUGGCGAAGGCGGCCUUCUGGACUGACACUGACACUGAGGUGCGAAAGCGUGGGUAGCAAACAGGAUUAGAUACCCUGGUAGUC